Molecule: long non-coding RNA, 439 nt
Filed under: Meleagris gallopavo (turkey)
Lineage: Eukaryota; Metazoa; Chordata; Aves; Galliformes; Phasianidae
Description: lncRNA (ENSMGAG00000019775.1)
Source: RNAcentral
UGUGGGGUGAUUUUCUUCACAGCCUCCGCAGGCGUUCUGCCAGGAUGGAGGGAGUCUGAGAGCGGUGUACGCAGCCCUCGCUUCUAGCUAAGAGGCGUUCUGUGAUGCCAAAUGCCGCACCUGUAGCUCUGGCUGCAGCAUGUCUCAGGUGUGCGCGCCGCUGGCUCGCAGUGAGAGGGAAUGGCAUCGCUGAGGGCGUCCAGCUCACAUCGGGUCGUACCGAGCGCAGCGCCUGCACUCCGUUCUUUGGUCGCAUCCUCCAGCGCAGGUGUUCUGCCCCCGAUUACUGUUUCGGUCCAACAAGCAGCGUGCGCCCUUCUCCCCCUUCCACGUCACGCCGUUGUCGUUUAUCUUCGCACGUCGAUCAGGCUCCGGAAGCGCCUCCGCAGCUUUUUGCCCCCUCGAGGCCGCCGUCGGUACUGUCCGGCCCCGCCCCGGG